UACGGAGGGUGCAAACGUUGCUCGGAAUCAUUGGGCGUAAAGCGCACGUAGGCGGCCUGUUAAGUCGGGUGUGAAAGCCCUGGGCUCAACCCAGGAAGUGCACUCGAAACUGGCGGGCUUGAAUAUGGAAGAGGGUCGCGGAAUUCCCGGUGUAGAGGUGAAAUUCGUAGAUAUCGGGAGGAACACCAGUGGCGAAGGCGGCGACCUGGGCCAAAUAUUGACGCUGAGGUGCGAAAGCGUGGGGAGCAAACAGG
This 254-nucleotide ribosomal RNA is filed under the name uncultured bacterium. RNAcentral's name for it is "partial 16S ribosomal RNA". It matches the Rfam family "Bacterial small subunit ribosomal RNA", at positions 524 to 776 of the family's 1533-position model. The record is from RNAcentral.